GUGUGUGUGUGUGUGUGUGUGUGUGUGUGUGUGUGUAGAUUAAACAUGAACGGGCCAAAACGGACAUGGCAGCAGGUCAAAAUCAAAUACAAGAACAUUCUGCAGAAUGCAGUGAAAAAGAAUACCCACAGACAAGGCACGGGUGGUGGGUCACCAAAGGCUGACCUUACCCCAGCAGAGGACAUGGCCUUGGAGCUAAAUAAAGGCAGGCCCGUCUUAGAGGGGAUCCCUGGGGGAAAGAGACGAGCAUAGGUUCCUCCCAAGAUGCCACCCGCUUCAUUCAAGUGCCUGGCAGCACUGUGUUCCUGUUAGAGCCACCAGCACAAGCACCAGACGAUGCUGAUCCAGGUGAAGGCCCCAGUGCAGCAGCAACAGCACAUGAUGGAGACGAUGAUGAGGAGGAGACCAUCUCUCUGGAUUCCAGAAGGCAUGAGGACCCAGAUGUUAUACAGUGGGAAAACCAGCCUGGCAACAUAGUGCGUAUUAAUAAAAGGACACCACAUCCUGCCAAAUUCCAGCUGCGCUAAUUGUAUUGUGUUCACAGAGCUCACAAGCUAUCAGAAAGUUGUAUGGCAACCACCUCCGGCGCCAAAUAGAACUGGCAGACAUAGACAUUCAGUACAAGAAGAAAAAGAUGGAAAAUCUUGCACUGGAGUCCGAAAUAAAAAAGAGGACAAUUAGGAAACUGGACCUUGAAAUAAAAAAACUUGAGAGGGAGCUCCAAGAAGAUGACACAGCUCAAAAUAAAAAUUAGGUAUAUUCUCGUAAAGUCAAGUGAGCCAUGACAUAUGAGCUCUUAUUGUGAGCACACAGGACGGUGGCAUCUUUCUAAGGUUUUUUUUAUUUUCCCAGCAAUCAGUACAACCAAGUCAUCGUUAUAAGGCAUCACCCUCUUUUGCCUACCCCCCCCCAGCACCAGGUGUGGCCACUAGCCUAUAUGAAGGCCCAAAAUUGUGUGUUCCUUUCUGCUCUGACAAUGGCAUGCCCAUUCGUGCGAGAUGUGGUGGAUGAAGAAGCACUUGUGCUGAGGAGAGCCUUCAGGCGAGAAAGGGUCUUCAGGGACCGGUUGGACCCACUGGCCUUCCCUGAUGACCAUCUAUAUGAAAGAUACAGGUUUUCUGCAGAUGGCAUCAGGUAUCUAUGCAGACUACUGGGUCCCAGGAUUAAGCACCGCACUGCACGGAGCCAUGCACUGAGUGUGGAGCAAAUGGUUUGUGUGGCCUUGCGCUUUUUUGCUAGUGGAGCCUUCCUGUACUCAGUGGGGAUGCUGAACAAGGCCACAAUUUGCCGCACAAUAAGGAGUGUGUGUCUGGCUAUCAAAGCAUUAGCAGAUGUCUUCAUCUCCUUCCCUGGCCACAGAAGACUCUGUGACAUCAAAGAGGAGUUCUAUAGGAUUGCAGAUGGUCUGCAAUGCUGACUGUGAUCAGCAAUGUUGUGGCAAAAUGGCCUGGCUCAGUCCAUGACUCCAGAAUCUUUCGGGCCUCUGAAAUCUAUCAGUGCCUAUCACAAGGUGAAUUCUCUGGUGUGUUGCUGGGAGACAGGGGGUAUGGCUGCCAGCCUUUUCUCCUGACACCUUUCACAGACCCCCAGGAAGCACAGCAGGCCUACAACCAUGCCCAUGCCAGGACCAGGGCCAGAGUUGAAAUGACCUUUGGCCUCCUGAAGGCACGCUUUCACUGCCUUCACAAAUUAAGGGUCAGCCCUGUUAGGGCAUGUGAUAUUACUGUGGCUUGUGCUGUCCUCCACAAUGUGGCCUGCCUGAGGAAGGAGAGGGCCCCCAGAGUGCCACCAGCCAUGGACUGGGACAAUCCGGCAAUCUUCCCUGAUGACGACAGUGGUCGGCUGCUGAGGGACCAAUAUGUGUUGAAUUAUUUUAGUUAGUAUGUGUGCUUUCAAUUUUGGUUAAAUAUGUCCUGCGGUGGCAGAGGAAUUUGGGUUUU
Oncorhynchus nerka (sockeye salmon) is the source of this 1940-nucleotide long non-coding RNA. RefSeq lists it as uncharacterized. The transcript has 8 exons. NCBI's taxonomy places the organism in Eukaryota, Metazoa, Chordata, Actinopteri, Salmoniformes, Salmonidae. The record is from RefSeq and is a predicted model, not a curated record.